UGAAUAUAUUGCUUGAUAUAAGGUCAACACAAAUAAGUAAUCAUCAAAAUUCAAAAGUAUCGUGGAAGGUCCAAGCACAUCCUCAUAUCACUCCUUAGCAAAUUGAUCUUCAAUGAUUUAGAUGUGCUUUACUUCUUUGUGUAGAUGACCCUUAAAGUUAGCUAUCUGUAUUGGCUGAUUACCAAUCAUAUAGAGAGGGUAAUGAGAACAGAAGAGCAGAGAACAAGUUGGAUCAUCAUUUCUUCCCUUAAAGGUCCAAUCUCCAAAACAGUUUCCUGAACUCAUUAACUUGUUGGAGCCAAUCAUAUCAUCUCCAAUCCGAGGAUGCCCAUCUUGGCUUAAUUGUAAAUAACUUAGAAUAUUCUUUGCCAUUUAAAACCUUCUUAGGGCCUGUUUGGUUGGGGUAAUUUAGCAUGGGAAAAUAAAUCCCAUGUCAGAUUACUAUGUUAGGUAAGAAAAGUGGAUGAGAGAGAUAGCAAGAUAAAUGGUGAAUCCCAAAUCUAUUUUUUUGAGAGAGAAGGUAAAACAAAUACCACCAGGAGGCUGGUAUUUGUUUUCCCACGCUGGAUUAUCGAGUGGGGAUAAUAUGAAAAUGUCAUUUCUUGAUGGAAAUGCCUUUACUUAUAUUAUAUUACUUAUAUUAUAUAAUUAAUAUUAAUUAUAUUAAUUAUAUUAAUAUAUUAUAAAUAUACUAAUAUAUUAUUUAAUAAUAUUUAUAAAUACUAAUAUAUUUAGUGUGUAUAUAUAUUAAUAAAUAUUAAUUAUUAAAAAUAAUCUACAAAUAUUUAUUAAUUAACAAUAAAU
This 804-nucleotide long non-coding RNA is filed under the name Phoenix dactylifera (date palm). RNAcentral describes it as "long non-coding RNA (PDAC_LNC017564)". Lineage: Eukaryota; Viridiplantae; Streptophyta; Magnoliopsida; Arecales; Arecaceae. The record is from RNAcentral.